This 465-nucleotide ribosomal RNA is filed under the name uncultured bacterium. RNAcentral's name for it is "partial 16S ribosomal RNA". It matches the Rfam family "Bacterial small subunit ribosomal RNA", at positions 338 to 795 of the family's 1533-position model. The record is from RNAcentral.
CCUACGGGAGGCAGCAGUGGGGAAUAUUGCGCAAUGGGCGAAAGCCUGACGCAGCGACGCCGCGUGAGGGAUGAAGGUCUUCGGAUCGUAAACCUCUUUCAGCAGGGAAGAACGGUCACUGUGCUAAUCAUCAGUGAAUUGACGGUACCUGCAAAGGAAGCACCGGCUAACUCCGUGCCAGCAGCCGCGGUAAUACGGAGGGUGCGAGCGUUGAUCGGAGUUACUGGGCGUAAAGCGCACGUAGGCGGUAUGUCAAGUCAAGGGUGAAAUCCUCGAGCUCAACGUGGGAACGGCCUUUGAUACUGGAAAACUGGAGUGUGAGAGAGGAGAGUGGAAUUCCAGGUGUAGGAGUGAAAUGCGUAGAUAUCUGGAGGAACAUCAGUGGCGAAGGCGACUAUCUGGCACAUAACUGACGCUGAGGAGCGAAAGCGUGGGUAGCAAACAGGAUUAGAUACCCCAGUAGUC